AUACGUAGGUGGCAAGCGUUGUCCGGAUUUACUGGGUGUAAAGGGCGUGUAGGCGGAGAUGCAAGUCAGGAGUGAAAUCUAGGGGCUCAACCCCUAAACUGCUUUUGAAACUGUAUCCCUUGAGUAUCGGAGAGGCAGGGGGAAAUCCUUUGGUAGCGGUGAAAUGCGUAGAUAUUAGGAGGAACACCAGUGGCGAAGGCGGCCUGCUGGACGACAACUGACGCUGAGGCGCGAAAGCGUGGGGAGCAAACAGGAUUAGAUACCUUGGUAGUCCACGCUGUAAACGAUGAAUACUAGGUGUGGGGGGACUGACCCCCUCCGUGCCGCAGUUAACACAAUAAGUAUUCCACCUGGGGAGUACGAUCGCAAGAUUGAAACUCAAAGGAAUUGACGGGG
Molecule: ribosomal RNA, 396 nt
Filed under: uncultured bacterium
Lineage: Bacteria
Description: partial 16S ribosomal RNA
Rfam family: Bacterial small subunit ribosomal RNA
Source: RNAcentral